RNAcentral lists this long non-coding RNA (1098 nucleotides) under Oryza sativa (Asian cultivated rice). RNAcentral's name for it is "long non-coding RNA (OSAT_LNC001925)". The record is from RNAcentral. Lineage: Eukaryota; Viridiplantae; Streptophyta; Magnoliopsida; Poales; Poaceae.
UGACUUGUAAUUGCGUUGACCAUCUGUAUAGUGAACUAGUUCAGUGGCAGGUAAAACUGAUAACUUGUAAUUGCGUUGACCAUCAUCUACACGGUGAGGUAGUUCAGCAGCAGGUGAAACUGAUAACUUGUAGUUGCGUUGACCAUCAUCUGCACGGUGAGGUAGUUCAGCCAUAGGUGAAACUGAUGACUUGUAGUUGCGUUGACCAGCAUCUAUACGGUGAGGUAGUUCAUUAGUGGCAGGUAAAGCUGAUAACUUGUAGUUGCGUUGGCCAUCAUCUACACGGUGAGGUAGUUCAGCCACAGGUGAAACUGAUGACUUGUAGUUGCGUUGACCAGCAUCCGUACGGUGAGGUAGUUCAUUAGUGGCAGGUAAAGCUGAUAACUUGUAGUUGCGUUGACCAUCAUCUACACGGUGAGGUAGUUCAGCCACAGGUGAAACUGAUGACUUGUAGUUGCGUUGACCAGCAUCCGUANGGUGAGGUAGUUCAUUAGUGGCAGGUAAAGCUGAUAACUUGUAGUUGCGUUGACCAUCAUCUACACGGUGAGAUAGUUCAGCCAUAGGUGAAACUGAUGACUUGUAGUUGCGUUGACCAGCAUCCGUANGGUGAGGUAGUUCAUUAGUGGCAGGUAAAGCUGAUAACUUGUAGUUGCGUUGNCCAUCAUCUACACGGUGAGNUAGUUCAGCCANAGGUGAAACUGAUGACUUGUAGUUGCGUUGACCAGCAUCCGUACGGUGAGGUAGUUCAUUAGUGGCAGGUAAAGCUGAUAACUUGUAGUUGCGUUGGCCAUCAUCUACACGGUGAGGUAGUUCAGCCACAGGUGAAACUGAUGACUUGUAGUUGCGUUGACCAGCAUCCGUACGGUGAGGUAGUUCAUUAGUGGCAGGUAAAGCUGAUAACUUGUAGUUGCGUUGGCCAUCAUCUACACGGUGAGAUCGUUCAGCCACAUGUGAAACUGAUGAUUUGUAGUUGCGCUGACCAGCAUCCGUACGGCGAGGUAAUCUAACAGCAGGCAAGUAAGGGUAGUUAAGAAGUUGGGAGAUGGAGCUUGGCAUUGGGGUGUUAGGGAGGAUGGAUCGCCAGUAUUGCUCGGGGGA